Molecule: ribosomal RNA, 467 nt
Filed under: uncultured bacterium
Lineage: Bacteria
Description: partial 16S ribosomal RNA
Rfam family: Bacterial small subunit ribosomal RNA
Source: RNAcentral
GAUGAACGCUGGCGGCGUGCUUAACACAUGCAAGUCGAACGGAAAGGCCCAAGCUUGCUUGGGUACUCGAGUGGCGAACGGGUCAGUAACACGUGGGUGAUCUGCCCUGCACUUCGGGAUAAGCCUGGGAAACUGGGUCUAAUACCGGAUAGGACCACUUCUUGGAUGUUGUGGUGGAAAGUUUUUUCGGUGUGGGAUGAGCUCGCGGCCUAUCAGCUUGUUGGUGGGGUAAUGGCCUACCAAGGCGUCGACGGGUAGCCGGCCUGAGAGGGUGUACGGCCACAUUGGGACUGAGAUACGGCCCAGACUCCUACGGGAGGCAGCAGUGGGGAAUAUUGCACAAUGGGCGCAAGCCUGAUGCAGCGACGCCGCGUGGGGGAUGACGGCCUUCGGGUUGUAAACUCCUUUCGCUAGGGACGAAGCGUUUUGUGACGGUACCUGGAGAAGAAGCACCGGCUAACUACGUG